Molecule: ribosomal RNA, 253 nt
Filed under: uncultured bacterium
Lineage: Bacteria
Description: partial 16S ribosomal RNA
Rfam family: Bacterial small subunit ribosomal RNA
Source: RNAcentral
UACGUAGGGGGCAAGCGUUGUCCGGAUUUAUUGGGCGUAAAGAGCGUGUAGGCGGCCACACAGGUCCGCUGUGAAAACUCGAGGCUCAACCUCGAGCUGUCGGUGGAAACCGUGUGGCUAGAGUCCGGAAGAGGAGAGUGGAAUUCCCGGUGUAGCGGUGAAAUGCGCAGAUAUCGGGAAGAACACCCGUGGCGAAGGCGGCUCUCUGGGACGGUACUGACGCUGAGGAGCGAAAGCGUGGGGAGCGAACAGG